UCUUCCCCUCCCUCAGAAAAAAAAAACCCUAACUCAAGUUGCGCCUCCCUCAGAAAAAAAACCCUCACUCAAGAUUUAACGAAGGAAUCAGUUUCAGUAUGAAGUAAAUCAGAAAUCCUACAUCCUCAUUGUUGAAGAAACGAAACCAAAUCUCAAGAUCUCUUCAAAAUGUUUCAAUUAAAAGUCAAAAUCGAACUCCAAAUUUCUCUUCUCGCUCUGUUUUCUAACUCUGCAAUUCGUGAAACCCUAACCCAAGUUUCGUUUGCUUCCAUUGCUUCAAAUUAGGUGGAGAUUUUGUCAUUGCUACUGCUACAGAUCGAGAAGAAGAGGAGGAUUACUCUGAAUAGAAGCUAGGGUUUGUGUGAUUCGAUUUGACAUUGAAGAUUUGAAGAUUUAUUGGUUUCCAUCAAGAAUAGAAAAUCUAGGGUUUGUGUUUGUUGUUGGUUUUGAUGAGAUGGAUGGCUAUUUGAAAGUUUGAGAAGGAAUUGAUGAUAUUAAUGGGUCUUUGCAGUAAUGAAUUUGACACCAGAUACGGUGAUUGAGAUGAUUUCUUUAUUAUUUAGAUAAAGGUCAACUCUUUUGUUGAAUUUGUUUGAAGGGUUUGUUGAAUCUGUUUGAAGCAGAGAAGGAGAUCUGUAAUAAGAUGAGUUGCAACAGAGUUAUGACGAGAUUGAGAAGAAUCAGUUGCAGAUGGUGAAUUAGGAUUCUGAAAUAAGAUCGAAUUGGAUGAAUUUGGGGGUUUCUUUUGGUUGAUGGUUGUUUGCUGAUACUAAAAUUGUUUGAGAUGGAGAUAAUGCUAUUGUGUCGUGUUAUUUGGAAGUCUGGGAAGGAAUAAAAGAUGGGUCUGAAACGAAUUGAAGUUUCUGGUUGUGAGCUGCUGAUGGGACUGACAGAGACUGGUGUUGUUGAUGACUGAGAUUUGACUGUGUGUAUGGAAUUGCAGUGAUGGGUUGAGAUGGAAUUGUAUGUUAUGUUAAGAUGGGUUUGUAGUGUAUGGCUGUGGUUCUGGUGGUGUUCAUUGUUGCCAUCAGUUGAUAACAAGAACGGGUUUGUGGCUAUGUAGGUUUGUUGAUCUUAAUGGUGCAGGAAAUCAAUGUUGAAGAUAAAGAUCAUACUAAAGCUGCAGGGAGUAAAUGGAGAAUGGGUGAAGCUCUGCUGGUGAUAUGAAGGAUUUAGAUGAAUUUUAGGUGGUCUGUAGUGGUAGCUGUUGUGUUACAGGUUGGGAGAAGGCAGAAAAUGCAGCGGUGUCCUUCAAGAAGCGGCUUGAAACUGCAGUUCAGAAGAAUUCAGCGCUUGAAGAUCAGGUAGGUCUUCUCGAUGGGGUUUUGAAGGAGUGUGUCAGACAGCUUAGGCAAGCAAGAGACAUACAAGAACAAAAGUUUCAUGAAGCUAUCAUUUAGGCUUUUGAGAUUGACCAUUUGAUGCUCCCCACAAGAGAUUAUCUCUUUGGUCCAUCGUACGACAAUAUAUGCCGUCUUGUAGACUUCAUCCACAAGAAUGCUGCAAGUGAGAAGCACUACCAUGUUCAUUGUAAAUUUGAUUAAGGAUGAUUGUCUGAUUAAUUAGCUCUCUUAGAAUCCACUGUGGGCAUUAUCCGUGGUGUUAGUUUAUGCGUUAGGUAAUAAUUUUAAGUUUACACCCUUACUGUGUUGGAUAUUUAGAAGUUUUUUUUCUUGUUGGUUAGCUUGUAGGUAUGCUAUAACUCUCAUAGUUUUAGAUUCAUAUUCCCCCUUGGUGAUUAAAUGUGUGCUGAUUUGCCUUUAUGACACGCUUUUUAGAUAUUAUCAUAGAAUUUUUUAAAUUGUUCUGUGUUAUUUCGGAUUGUCUCAUUCCUUCAUUUAUCACCAUGAUUACAUUUUCUUGAAGCGGUCGGGAUUGGUUCUGAACCAACUGAACCUCAGCUGAACAAGUUGUGCCUAGCACAUAAUGUCGUCAUUUCUGAAUCUAGAGCCUAGAAAGCUAAGCAAGAGUUUACCUUUUCUGCUUUUGGCUUUUUUGAUAUUUCCUGUGUAUUACAACAUGUAAAUAUUAUUAGGUGCAAGUUUCUGAGAAGUGUAUAUUAUGCCUAUUGCAGGUAACCUUUUAUUCAUUGGGCAUGCCAUUUCUUCCAAGAUGGAUGUGCUGAGUUUGAGUAUCAGAGGAGGCCCUAAUACUCAGGGUUUUCUUUAUAUUGAGAAGGUAAACAUUUCAUGGAUAACUUACUUGGUUGUUUAAAAUAAUAGAAUUAUCGUUUAUGAAAGAUCUUGUUAACUUGGUAUAUUAUUUCGGUUUCUUUGUGUUCUGCGUUGCCAUUGUUAAAUUGUUAUAUGAACUAAUCUCUCAGCGUGUUUUGUGUAGGAUUCAUGAAGAGAAUAACUUGGUAUAUUAUUUCGGUUUCUUUGUGUUCUGCGUUGCCAUUGCUAAAUUGUUAUAUGAACUAAUCUCUCAGCGUGUUUUGUGUGGGAUUCAUGAAAAGAAUGAUAUCUCAAGAUCGUAAGGAGUGUAGGUAAUAACGGGAUAGAUUGCAAAUGGAGAAAUGGAUGAAGCUCAGCAAAUUGAGAAAUGUAUGCAUUGCAGGUCUGUGUUUCUGGUUAGAUUGUAGCCUGGAACUCCGACAGGUUCAGGGUGAUCGGAGGGCACCUUUUUUUUCUUUGAAUGUAACGAAUAUUCUAACGGAAAUAACCGGAUCAAUUUUUGAAAGCUGUGACUAAAUAAAGACACGUGUCUUUCUUUUGAA
Long non-coding RNA from Papaver somniferum (opium poppy), 2716 nucleotides. RefSeq lists it as uncharacterized. The transcript is spliced from 4 exons. NCBI's taxonomy places the organism in Eukaryota, Viridiplantae, Streptophyta, Magnoliopsida, Ranunculales, Papaveraceae. The record is from RefSeq and is a predicted model, not a curated record.